Molecule: transfer RNA, 77 nt
Filed under: Staphylococcus aureus subsp. aureus VRS8
Lineage: Bacteria; Bacillati; Bacillota; Bacilli; Caryophanales; Staphylococcaceae
Description: tRNA-Asp
Rfam family: tRNA
About the family: Transfer RNA (tRNA) molecules are approximately 80 nucleotides in length. Their secondary structure includes four short double-helical elements and three loops (D, anti-codon, and T loops). Further hydrogen bonds mediate the characteristic L-shaped molecular structure. tRNAs have two regions of fundamental functional importance: the anti-codon, which is responsible for specific mRNA codon recognition, and the 3' end, to which the tRNAs corresponding amino acid is attached (by aminoacyl-tRNA synthetases). tRNAs cope with the degeneracy of the genetic code in two manners: having more than one tRNA (with a specific anti-codon) for a particular amino acid; and 'wobble' base-pairing, i.e. permitting non-standard base-pairing at the 3rd anti-codon position.
Source: RNAcentral
GGUCUCGUAGUGUAGCGGUUAACACGCCUGCCUGUCACGCAGGAGAUCGCGGGUUCGAUUCCCCGUCGAGACCGCCA